GGGCCGGGGGGCGACUGGCGCUGAACGUGGGCACACCACGGGGAAGCCCCCGACACGGACUUCUGAUCGCGCGCCUGGGUCGAUCCC
This 87-nucleotide non-coding RNA is filed under the name Deinococcus soli (ex Cha et al. 2016). RNAcentral's name for it is "Deinococcus soli ZTP sequence". It matches the Rfam family "ZMP/ZTP riboswitch aptamer (pfl RNA motif)". Rfam says of the family: Previously known as pfl RNA. ZMP is also known as AICAR. The record is from Rfam by way of RNAcentral. Lineage: Bacteria; Thermotogati; Deinococcota; Deinococci; Deinococcales; Deinococcaceae.